Saccostrea cuccullata (small rock oyster) is the source of this 269-nucleotide long non-coding RNA. RefSeq lists it as uncharacterized. The transcript is spliced from 2 exons. The record is from RefSeq and is a predicted model, not a curated record. Lineage: Eukaryota; Metazoa; Mollusca; Bivalvia; Ostreida; Ostreidae.
GGAAGUUGAAGUAGCGUCUGAGGGUAGGUGUCCCCGCGCAUGCCCUAACCUUUACGCGCCAGUCUGUGGUGAGGACGGAAAUACUUAUUCCAAUGCGUGCCAAGCUGAAAAUGAGAAUGUGGCUGUUGCCAGCGAAGGCGCUUGUUAAGAAAACGGAGGAACUAUCUACAUUCCCUCAGCUCGGUAAAAAGAUUUCCAAAUGUCCUGUGCUAAAAUCUUGUUUCUGUUACAAUUAUAUUAAGUCAACACAGACACUAUGUACAGCUUUU